GUGAACAUUUCAAGCUGAAAGCAUAACAAAAAAUCACAGAUGUGAAUAUCCAUCUUGGGAAGACAAAUGCAAAGGAUUGGAGUCAUCUGUGGGAAAGAGCAAAGAGAUUCCCAGAGGCAACAUCUCCUGUCACUAAGGAAAACAACACAGAAACCUGAGGUAAGCCUCUAGUCACAGAAGACAAAGGCUGGGCGUGGUUAGGAAGCUUGGCAGCACAGCCAAGAGCGUGCACACAGC
RNAcentral lists this long non-coding RNA (237 nucleotides) under Chinchilla lanigera (long-tailed chinchilla). RNAcentral's name for it is "lncRNA (ENSCLAG00000022899.1)". The record is from RNAcentral. Lineage: Eukaryota; Metazoa; Chordata; Mammalia; Rodentia; Chinchillidae.